GGAGGGAACAUUAUGAUUAUCAUGACAGUUCUUUGUUAUUUUCAGUAUUCAUUACAUCAGUAGCAAAUCUGGCGUUUUUUUUUUUUUUUUUUUUUAAGAUUGAAAUCUGAAAGCAUAAGUUCCUGGUUCAAGUACUGUGCUUUCUAGAAGUCUGCAACCUACAUACAUACAUACGUUCUGGUGAUGUUAAUAACCUGAUUAAACAAUCAAAAAUGUGAUGGUUGCUUGGCAACAGAGGUAACAGAUCAUUAUUAAGAUUAGUGCUUCAUUGUACACUCAUUCAGAUAUCCUAAGAGCUGACUCCCCUAUGCCAUCUUAAUUCUUAAAAGUUUAUACUGGCUCAGUGUACGUUAGCUAAGGAGUUUUCUGGAGAAAAACCAUCACUAACAAGUAAAAGGGCAGUGCCAUUGCUGUGUUAGGGCAGUGAGAAACACUGCUUUAUGAAAUGGCUCAUAUGGGUAUAAAUGUGUUUAUGUGCUUGACCGCUGAUGCCAUGGUCUUUGUCAGUAUACCACUGCAGGAAAGAAAAUACAGAGACUGUUACCUCUAGCUAUGUACAAGUCAUAAAUCAAACUGUAGACAUAAAAGCAGAUAAAAAAAAUUCAGCCAUCCAACAUGAGGCUAAGUCAGCAGUCAAAGACAAUCAUAGCAGGGACAGAAAUCCCUGCAACUUCCUGCUUUCUGUGUAGGAAAUACACCAGCUAUUUACGCUAGAAGUACAAAAAAAGUACAUUACAUGUAAUGUAAGCUAGAUGCAGCUUCUUGGUUCAGUAUAGUGUCCCUUCUCACCACACUGUUAUCCCUGCUGAAGGACAGACCAUACAGUGCGCUUGGCUUCAUUCAAUUUCAUUUAUCCACUGUUCCUCAAGGGCUGGGAACAAGUAGGAAAGGAAGCACAGCUACCUUAAUCUGGGAAUUUCCAUGCACAGUGUAAGACUGGGCAAAUAACUGCUCUGUCUUACAAGUCCAACAGGGACUCCAAAAGUUUAUCUUGGGUAAAGAAAUGGACUUAGCUGAAGUUUACUUUUCCUUAUAUAGAAAGUAUACUAUUGAGUGAGCUAUUUCUAAGACUAGGACUGGCUUCGCUGUUUUGAGAAUACAGAAAAAUAAAAUGAAUGAUCAAAUACCAGAAGAAACUACAUUAGUUUUUGUUCUUGUAUAGUAGAUAUAUGGAGAGUUAAUGUUAUGAUUUAAAUUACUGAACAUGAAAUACAAAUACGUAAGCUUUGUUUUAAGUUGGGAGCUGUUUUCUACCUAACUAGGGGGAGCUAUUGCUAUCAUUCUCAUAAUACAAGUCUAUUCAUAUGAAAAUAAAUACAACACAACCAUACCAUUGCCUGAAAAUCCACUUCAGCAUCAACAAGAGCUUUGGAAAUCUGAGCUGCUUGCUGAAAGUGAACAUUAUCUGAAAAAUGGAAGAAAAAAAUGGAAAAGGUAAACAAAAAUUGUUUCUGUACGACUAUGGGGGAAAAAGCAAAACAAUGAACACAAACUCCCCAGCACUGCUGCCUGAGACACAAAUUAGGAGCAUAAAGCUGUAUUAUUUUAUUGACGUAAAUGUAACAGCCUUGCCCCUUCAUGCUUUUGUUUUGUCAGUAGUAGAAUUGCAAACCUGUCUGUAAUACUAAAAUGUCUAAUUAACUGUAACUCACCAUCUGCUGUUCCAUGGAUAAGGAGAUACUCAACUUCCUUGAAUUUUUCAGCUCUGGCCAUUACCGUUGAACUCUGAAAUUAAAGAAAAGGAAAAAAGAAAAAAAGGUGCUAUUUGUUAGAUGAUUAUUUGCUACCAACUGACUUUGAUUCCAGUUGACAUAGUCUGGUGUUCUUCAGUUAAAAGUAACAACCCUUGCCCUCCUCCCCCAAAGUAGCAUAUUCACAUAUCCAACAGCACUGUGCUCACACUCGAACCAUUCUGCACCGGUGUGCAAUUAUUACCAAAGGUUAUAUCUGUCUGCAAAAUGACAAGCAAGUCCAGAGGGGGAGAGUUUUGUGAGUGAGAUACACAUUUAAUGCUUUGCUAGCAUGUUGUUAGCCUGCAGCACACCACUUACCAUUGGUUUUCUGUGCUACUGCAGGCAAGUUAAAAAUGUUGCCAUGGCAACAGUGCACCCUAUGAUAGAAAGGAGACGAUAGUACAGACUAUACAUGUUAUUUUCCUCACCAACAUGUAUGCUAUAGUCUACCUGUAGCUAAGCCAGCAGAGCUUGUAUAUAUGUAUGUCGUCAUUCUCAAGUAAAUACAUCUCAGAAGUUUAAAACAGUGACCUCC
Molecule: long non-coding RNA, 2268 nt
Filed under: Gallus gallus (chicken)
Lineage: Eukaryota; Metazoa; Chordata; Aves; Galliformes; Phasianidae
Description: long non-coding RNA NONGGAT008587
Source: RNAcentral